GUCAGCCAGGUUAGGGGGAUCACCUUCACAGGCAUCCUGUCAUCCCACAGUCAGGGAGAGCGGCAGGAGCAUGAGGUGGAAAUCGAGUUUUGGUGCAGGGUAGAGGGGGUUUGGAAGUGCACAUACAUACAUACAUACAUACAUACAUACAUACAUACAUACAUACACACACACUCUCCCACGCCGGUCAGAAACUGGUGGAGGGUGGAGAUGUGCGGAACGUAGAGGUCGCUCCGGCGGGUACGGGGAGCCGGGUCUGGAGGCAGCGCUGCUGGCAAUGACAGGACAGGACAGAACAGCUGAAGGACAGGACUUGAGGCGGCGUUCUGUUCAAUUCGAUCUCGUCCCCUGGCCCUCUUUCCCUCUCCAUCCACCUUUCCCCCGUCUCCCUCCCCCCCACCACUCACGGUGUUUCUCCCGCUUAAGAAUGGGCAGGCAGUAGUUGUGAGGCCGCAACCCCUUAGCGAACAGCGCAUUGCGGUUGAGCAGCAUGUGCUGGGGGGUGAUGGUGGCAGCCACGUUGGCAGGGGCGGAAGACACGAACUCAGCCUGAAGGAGGGGGGAGAAGGGGUCAAUGGAGGACGGAGGGAAGGGAAAUAAAAAGAGCACAAUCAGGGAGAGAGAUUGGGUAAGGGAAGGGAAGGGAAGGGAAGGGAAAAGGUAGGGGAUGGGGUGCUUGGGAGGUCAAGGCAAACUGUGAUGUGGGGUGGGGUGGGGCCCAGGGGUUGCUGAGGCCAGGGGCUACGUGUGUUUCUUGGGGGCGCUGAUGGAUCGGUCUCGUGGUCGAUCCCGGGGCGAUUCUCUGAAAAAACAUGGAAAAUAAUAAGUUAAGUUCGAUAUUCAGUUACUCCCCAAAAUCAAAAACCGCCAGUGCCGCCCUAACCUUCUGCACCCACAUUUCCAAUGCUCUUCCACCCUUGCGGCCGCUCCCAUUCACUCUCCCCUCCCCUUCCAUCUCCGCAACCCUGACACACACACACACACACACACACACCUCCCCCGCGCCCCGCCUCACCGCAUCCUUCGUCGUGAUGUGCUCCAUAACUACCUUCAGGUCGGGCACCUGGUCCAACAACGGUAACUGAAAGUACGGGAGGAUAAGGGAGGGAGGGUGUGGGGGUUUUAGGGUUUGUACAGCAAAGAUCACGUGAAACACGGCUGAGCGCGUGUUCCGUUUCCCAUCCCCUUCACCCCCCCCGGGGUGCGCCCUUGACUGCUGCCCAUUCCCCCUUCCACCUCUUGCCUUGCCUCCCCCACCCCUCUUCACACGCCCUCCCCAUCAUUAGGAACUCUGCACACGCACAUCCCCGGGAACAGCCCAGUCGGGGUGGAGUCCGCGUCUCGGCGGUCGCCGUGUUUUUCUUCCGUUUUCCUUUUUCCCAUAUCCCCUUUCCCAAUUCUUCCCGCCUUUCUUUCCUUCCCCAUUUUCCCGUUUCUCCCCCGCCCCUACACACACACACACACAGCCACACCAAUACCCAUACCCACCAAUUUUCGCUGAAUGAACACGGCCUCCCGGUCAAACAUGUCGACCUCUGGGUCGGUGACCUCCCCGUGGACCAGCAGCAACACGCCCGCUUCAGCCAUGGCCUGAGGAAAGCCACACCGCGGUCCGGGCACCGGACACAUGUACCGCGUACAUGACACACACGGUAACGCGGCGGCACGGGGUGUCAGUACGGCAGUACGGUACAUGUACAUAUGUAUAUACCUUAAUACCUUAACACAUUUCUCCCUAUAUAUAGAUAUUUUUUUGUCAUGUAAGGGUUGGAUCAGAUGUGGUGUUGGCGAUUAACAGCUCUCGAAGUCGCAUUUGCCUUUCCUGCGGGGUGAUGUCCUGCGGGCUGGUGGAGGGGGAGGAGGAGGAGGAGGAGGAGGAAAAGGGGAAUACUAUAUCAUGCCCAACAUCGGAAUGCGGUUCAGCAAAAAUUAUGAUGAAGGUUUAAUUGUUGACAUGCACGCGGCAGGCGGAAGUGCGAGCCAAGUAGUUACUCCAACUCGCCACCGCGAAGGUGCGUCGGGGCGGUUAGGCCACGUGUGUUUUUGUGCGUGUGCUGGGCCCCGAUCAAAAAGUGGUUCAGGAAAAAGUGGUUCGCACUCAAACAAAAGUUGAGUACGAUAACUUCGGUCACUACAGAUUGCCGUACCCCAUACAUGCCGUACCUUGAGUGCGGCCAUGGGCUUGUUCAAAUCGGUGACCCCGGAAUCCGAAUUGGUGGUGGCGCCUGGCGUUCAACGAAAAAGCGAGAGGGGGGAAAAGAAUGAGAGAAACCCCAAAAUGUGCUGCAGGAGAAGACCCGGAUCAAAACGGACACCGCUCAGAUGGGCAGGCCCGAGUGUGUGUUUGCAGCUGUGUUUGCAGGUUUGUAUGUCUGUGUGUGUUUUAUUUAGGUAAUCUGAGCCCUGUGUGUGUGUGAGUGCGCGCGCGCGUGUAUGCGUGUGUGUAUGGAGGUGUGUGGUGGCGUGCAUAUGUGUGUGGUUACGGGAGGAAUGCGGGGGAGAGGAGCGGGUAGAGUGAGAUUGCAUGAACAGUCGGUUAACCGUUAGGAAGCAACGGAAGUGGCGGAUGCGAGCCUGCCCGGCUGCACGUGCGGAAACACCUCCUCCUCCUCCUGCCGUACNNNNNNNNNNNNNNNNNNNNNNNNNNNNNNNNNNNNNNNNNNNNNNNNNNNNNNNNNNNNNNNNNNNNNNNNNNNNNNNNNNNNNNNNNNNNNNNNNNNNNNNNNNNNNNNNNNNNCGCUGAUGACCUCCGCCGGGGAGGUUCUGAUCACCCCGGGGGGGGGGGAAAGGCCCGGAACGGGGGGGGGACGGGGGGAGGGGGGGAGGAGGGGGGAAGGGGGAGGGAUGUGUAUGAGGUGGAGAGAGGGGGGAGGGGAGGGGGAGGCGCACGAAGCGAUGUGGGAGUUCUGCAGCUUGCAGAUAUGACCCUGCGACUUCAAGUCGCGGAUAGGGAGGGGGGUGAUGGGGGAUGAGGGAGAGCCGUACUGUACCGUACCGUACUAGAUCCAACGGCGGCAACCGGAUCCCAGCAGCAAGGAUUCCCCGGGAGGGGGAGGGGGAUAAGGACCGGGGGCCGGGUCCUGGAGGACCCCCCCCAACCCCCUUACACAGGCCGGGAGGAGUGACGGCGCCGUACACUCACUCACAUACAUUCACACACAUUGGGCUCACCUGUCCGUGAGGUACAGCGUCAUGAGCGGCUGAAAGGUGGACCCCGCGGGUACGGCAGCCAGGAUACGGGACUUGUAGUCCUGGGCCUAAGGGGAAAACACACACACACAUACAUACAUACACACACAUACAUACACACACUGGACUGCUGGUGCUGCCUGCGGUGCCGGUGUUGGAGGUGGUUGUGCAGUCUGUCCAUAUGUCAUGGGCGGAUGAUCAUGGGCGAGGGGGCUCUCAAGGACGUGUGUUCGGGGAGUUGUCGCAGCCGGAUGGCCCGCAGCUAGGCAGGGGCCCUCAGCACCCCUUAUAACCUUGUGUGAGCCUCACCACUCCCAUACACUUUCAUUCCAACCCCAUGCCCCCUUACUCCUUCCCCCCACCCCAACCCCCACACAGCCUCCACCCGCCGUGCCUCCCUCACCGCCUGAGUGGUGUUGAUGGGGGGCACCAGAUUGGGCAUAACGAUGGCCCGCCCGAAGUGCAGGGCGGUGUGGGGCACCACGUCCUGGCGGGUAACGAACGUAGGGAGGGGGCCGAUGCGGCGAUGGUGAGGGCCCGGAUUUGGAGGGGAUUAGGGAAACAGGGUUUUGGCGGGUAAGUAAGAGAAAACGCGAGGGGAUAGGCACGACGAUACAAGAUGAUGGGUGGACGGGGCGGGAUUUUUGGCUAAAGAGAAGGAAGCGGAGAAACCCGCCCUCCCGCUCUUUCCCCCACCCACGUCACGUCACGUCCGCUCUUCUGAGGAGUGACGGCGGGCCCUCGAGAGGUGGACCUCACCGCCAUGGGUUGGCCAUCCCGGACGUGAAGGUGCCAGUCGUCGGGACGGGUGAUGGUCAAGGACUGUACUGCGGCGGCCGCCGCCACCGCCCCAGCGGCGGCGGCGCGUGGCCGCACGGUGUUGCCCGCCGCUGUUGUGACUGAAGCGCUUAAGAGGCGGGUUCCGGAGCAGGAGGCGGAGGAGCCGUACGACGUGGCGCCGCCUGAGAUUUGGGCGGUGGCAUGGAGCGGGUGGUGGUGGUGGUGGCGGGGAGGAUGGAGGGGAGGAGAGGGGGAAAGGGGAGUCGAAGGACGUUUUGAAAGGGGGGGGUUUGAGGGCGGGAUAUCCGAAGGCCUCCAAGGAUGGUCCCGGCGCGCGGUAGAAAGGGCUGGGGCUCAGCAGGCACAGCGCGGUGAGGAGUGGAGUCUGUAGAGGGAGAUAUGUGGUUUGGGAGGAAACGCUGUGUGGUUGUAGGCGAGGUGUGUGUGUGUGGCAGGGGGUGUUGGAGCUGGUGUUGGGGUUGUGGUGCGGCUGGGAGAGUUUGGAGGUAACGGCAGCGGCGGUGAUCCCGCCAUAUUGCUGCGGCGUGGCCAUGUGCUGAGUUUUAUGAGGUGGUGGUGUAAUGGGGCCACUAGGUGGCUUUGCACAUGGCUUUUAUGUUUUUGCAUGAGUACUGGCCCAUCGGCCAGCCAAGAAGUGGAGAAUGAUCAGCUGUGCGCACAGGAAAGGUGAUGAGAAACACGGAGGGUCGCAAAGCACGGCAGUGGGCCGAUGGGAGUCAAAGCCCGAAAGUAGAGACUUCUGAUAACUGCAGCAGCGGCCAAAGGAUUAUUUUAAAUGUCGCCUUUUCGUCACAACUUGGAAUUCGUCCAUGCGAGCCGCGGAUGGUUUGUAAUUGGCAUACGAUGGCGGCGAUGUCCGUUUAACCAGCCCGCGGCGUACCCGUGGGAAACGAUGCCUUGCAGCCCGUCUUACAGGAAAUUGACGUUUUAAGCAUCCUGGCUGCAACUCCAAACAUGCAGGGUUGCUUGCAGCGUGGACCGACGAAGUGGAGAGCUGAAGCGUAAUUAUAAUGACGUCCUUCAUGCGUUGAUAAGUUAGCACAUAAGCUCCUAAUAUUUAGAGGCCAAAGCUCACAGGGGACAUGGCCGGGAAAGGUAGUUGGGAGGCCCUGACAUUACUCAAACAAACGUCCAGAAUGCACAUUACGACUUUCAGUACUGUGAAAUCAAAACGUAUUGUGUUCUUAUCGAUGCACUUUGGCCGCAACAUUCACGAAAGCUUUCAUUAGUUCGUUGCAGUGGAAGCAACACCCCCUGCCAACAAAUGAUUCGCAAUGCGCACCAAUUACUUCUAACGUUUUGAAUGGAUGCCUGUAAGACUGAUUUGUGUAGGUCGCAAAUGUAAAACUGAAGUGUAACCGGCCCAGAACUCAAAAGCCCGACAUGAAUUAUGCGUGAGCAUUGUGCUACCUUGUAAAUUGCAUGCGGUGGCCGUUAUCACGUGUUGUCGCAGGUCGCAGCGCUGAAGUAAAGCACUGGGAAAUAUUGGAGCCGUCUCCUUGCCAAUAAGCUGCCAUCUAAACGACUAGGCCACCCGGCCUCGUCGUGCGUUUGUUACCGAAAACCGAAAGAUCCAUUCCACUAGCACAAUGAGCAAUGCCGAAUCAGGGGCGAAGUCCUUAUUGUUACGCACACACAAGGUUACAAGGUCCCCGAUUCGCACGAGCAAGCCCGUUCAUACAGACAACAAUUCGAACACACAAACGAUAUUACUACAAAGCAACCACAGCUGCUCACGCAGCAGAUGAGCGUGCUCCUUACCAAAAACUACCUCGCUGCUACUAUAGCUACAACUGCCCUCCUCCUCCGCGACAACUACAUGCUUAAUAAGCAUUGCUUAAUCGCUAUAACGGCUCUAUUUUUUUGUGCUCGCAGGUGCUCACUCUAGGCAGGUUGGGCGAGCGAGCAACGGCGGACAGCAUGACUUUGCUGCUUAGAAAGCAAUCCCAUCCUUAAUAUAAAUCGCGCACCACAACACCGCGACACAGACCACAUCAACGCUCUUCGCGGCCCCUAACAAUGCCUGCCCGUUAGCUGUAUCCUUUCGUAAGUCCGCUUCGCAACCUUGUGCCCGCGACGGGGCCGUGAACCAUUCUGCAUACGCCGAACUAGAACGCGUGUACGCAGGUCUGCCAAACAUGGUCCCUCGCCGGCGGUUCAGGCCAGCUCGAAAAGCUAAGCAAACGACACGGGGCUAUUUAUGACCUGCAGCGCGGACGGAUGCCCCCGAGCGACCUGCUGCAGGCAAUCCUCGGCCACCUGAAAGCGUGCAAUAUCAUGAUUGACAUGUCACAAAUGGCGGAUAAUUACACCUUGAUCCCUAGAGAUGGACGCAAGAUUAUGGUAAUACGUACGGAUCAGGCGUAGGGCGGGAAGGAGAUGUGGAUUCUCCACCGCAUCCGCCGCUUACCUUUUGCUGCAUGCGCUUUUGGUGCCUGGGGAAUGUAUUUCACUGCACAGGCAUGCAACAACACCCAAAAAUGUUGCCCCAAGCUUGCAGGCGCUUUGUAUGUGCCUUAGUCAGCGUUUUAUAACUUUCAUAAGGUGAAGUUAUGCAACUUUCUGUUUAAUGACAGCAUUUUGGACGAGUGCGAAGGGUGUGUGUCGCGAAAAGCACAGAGCACAUGCCGUGUCCAGAUCUUUGCGUGCUCCCUCAUUGUAACCGGCAGGAGAGAGUGGGUAUGUUGCUGGAAAGUGGCCGGGCAUAUCUAGUUGUGAAGACGGUUUUCAGGAGAUGGAUUGAGUUUGAAGAAGGAGAAAAGCGUGUGUGUCCAAUAUGGGAAAACCUGUCGGCCACAGCUGUGUAUGCGCAUGCCAUGUUGUACUGCUCGUUGAUACGCGGCGCAAACCUAUGUGGGACAGGACAGUGAUACUUGUCCGUUUUGCGUGUUGCUCCACGAGUUACCAAUAAGGUUCAAGCCUUUUGCCCUUUCCGUUUUGUUUUGGCCUUGUGCACUUCGUAUGCGCGGCAUGUUUUGCAGGCGCUCUCCUGCACAGUACAUGCAACGGACCAGAAAACAUUCCGUACAAAUAUCGUUCUUUUGGCUUUGCUAUGUUACACAAUGUUACGAUCGUCCUUGCUUCGCUCUGCGUUGGGGUGCUGUGUCACCGCAGAUGUACGGUGCUGGGUUUCUAUUGAGCCUUUGAGAGCCUUUGCUGCCAACAGUAAGGACAUACGUGUAUGGUGAUGAGCGUGAGCACGUCCCAAUACGUUAUGUGGCAAGGUGUCAUGGGUCUAAGGAGCAGGUUGAACGUGAGGGGCCUUACUCGCACACACACACGCACAUGCGAAUACCGUUGGUCGGGUCACAGAGCGAAAUUGCAGUGCCUUUGUAACUUUAUUAAAGUUGUUCAUGCUCGCGGUCCACAAAGUUCAGCUCAGAGCCUCGCAACUUCCCGCGGUCCGAACGCAUUUCAUAUAAAGACGUUGACCGUUGCACCAAAUAUUUUUAAUAUUACUCAAGAUUAUGUAGACCACAAAUCCAAUGCAAAAUGGCUGCAUGUGGCAUGCUCUGGUGCUUCAUGUUGGCUUGCCCACCUAGAAGGUGGGCAAGAACCUAUAGAUGUUGGAUGAAAUGGACGAGCAUGCUCGGACUGAGACACAAUUACGUAACAAUCGCAUUCACAAUUACUCUUUGCGCAAUCCGGAACGAACGUCGUAAAACGAGGCGCUGCGUUCGGUGCCUUGGCGCAACUUGGCGCGGUGUUAUCGAAGAACAGAGAAAAUAUGGUAAAAUUCAAAGCGCGGAAGUCCGGGAGAUAUGCAGUGUGAAGAAGUGGCCGAGCAUAAGGCGGUUACAAAAGUUCGCAUGACGCAAAUCGACCAGACAUCUGCAGAUGUCAGAUCGACCAGACAUCUGCAGAUGUCAAAUCGACCAGACAUCUGCAAAUCCCAGCUGGGAUGUGAUACCCGGAAAAAUGGCAAAGUGAAGCGUCAAGUAAAAAGAAGAAAUUCCUAAGAACAACUAGUAAUAAUGAACGUUGUAUUAUAUGAACGUUGUAUAUAAAGUGAAGCGUCUAGAGGAGGGAGAGGAGGGAGAGGAGGGAGAGGAGGGAGAGGAGGGAGAGGAGGGAGAGGAGGUGUGGGUGCGAAAUGACGGCCUUUCGACAUGUCGUGGUAAAGUGAGGUUAAGUGCACGAACACAACUUAUCCAUUACCUUUGCUCCCUGUAAGCUUUCAAUCGAUUCAGCACCAACGACUCACAGUGCUCAAACAGAUUAUCAAAAUCUCAUCACAACAUAGGCUGCGGCACCCUCAAACGCAACCACUACAGGCUAACACAAUUCCGCUUUUGGGCAAGCCGACAUUACGUGUAGCGUGUUGUUUGACCAUAGGCCGUGUCAUAGAACUGCAAGAAUACGGCGGGCCUGCAGGCCCGAAUGCACUGCAAUAUUACAGAGUUAUAAACCUUUCAAAAACAUGCUAAUAGGUUCCAAAAUACUUCAACAUCAAGGAAAUCGCCUCCUCCUAGUAAAAGGCAAAUAGGGUCGGUCAUCCGUGAACAGCACCUGAUCAUCCUUGCGCGUUCAUAUGUUUUUUGUUUUCGCUUAAUUUCAUAUGGCUAUCUUUUUUCUAAAUCAUCAGCUCGGAUGACUCGGAUAAGCCUACCUAAUACGAGCAUAAAGUACAACUAAAGAGCCAAACUGUACAUGGCGCAGGUGCCAUCUUUAUAUACGCUGACGUAUAAAUGCUGGCCUAAUUACAUGUGCGUUUUAACAAACGAACUUAUUUCAGGCAACGGCAGCGAGUAUCUUCGUGUUAACACAGCACGGAUAUCACGCGCCGCUUUCCUUUUUGCAUGCUUGUUAGUACACGAUGGAAAUAAGAAUAUCAUUUAUGAAAUCACGUCUGAAUUCAAUCACGUCUGCCGUCCUUAUGCCGUCCCAUAAAAACUGCUUUACGUUUCCUGUAAAUGCUUGUACUGCGACCUUUGCUUAACUUUUUACUAGAUUUUGUACUUCAAAUGACGGAACCUGAAUGGUCGCCAAUGGAGUUACGCAUGAGUACUUAAGUUUUAGUAUAGUAAUCAAGCACGACUACUUAGAUGUGUUAAAUGGUUUCGUUAUAAUGUUGUAUACGACAGCUUUGCUCUCUCGCCCAUUGUACACAUCCUGUGGCAUGGGCUUGAAGCGGACCUAAAGAGAACACGGGGCGCUGACCUUGCAGCAGGGAGAUAUGGAAAAGGGCGUGCAUGCCGAUGUGAUGCUGCUUCUCCUACUCUUCGCUGCUGCGUCAGUUGGCGAGGCUAAGAUGCAGGUAAACUACACAAAAAGACGCUCUCCAUGAAGCUUGGUGCUUUUAGCUGUAGUUAUUUUCCCUGGACUGGACGAUACGUACACUUUCAUUUGUUACCUGUGCCUGCAUCCUCGCUGUCCAUUGCAAAUAAAUGUCAGAGGUAAAUAUUAUACAGAGAAUGUGGCAUGGCAUUCAAUCGCAUGGCAUUAUAUACAAAAAGUUGCCUUUGCAGCCCGCAGGAAAUCCGUCACGCGACAAUGCAUCGUAACCGGUUGUGGUGGUUCAGGUUCACGAUCGGGCCCUGCAGGGCACGCGCGCGCAAACCCCAGUGGACGUAGACACGAAGUAAUUCACAUAGAGAUAAGAUAAGAAAAAACAUACCUGAAAUGUAAAUUUGUGGCUGUAGGCGGUAUCGUGAGUGCAUGCCUAUGGCGUGCGUGCGGCACCUUUUCACCUGUUGAAUGCGCAUGUCGUGUACACCGUUUUUGACCUGCUCUAUCCUCUGACCUCGCUCCCCAUUCCAUGCAGGUCGACCGCAUUGAAAUAUAUCCCCAAGAUUUCCUUGCCAAACCACCCGGCAGCCUCGGUGUCGGUAUCCUGGCGUUCCAGCAACCGCCCAGGAGAACGACUGAUGCGGAUUUGCUACCUCAAGAAAUUGUAACCAUCAUCGGGAAAGGCAGCAGCCUUCCAAAUUGGUUGCUCAAAGAUGAAUGGGAAGAUAAUAGCGACAAGAGGGAAUGUGAGGCUUGGGAUUUGGGAUGCUUCCGAAUCCGACCACCAUCGCCCCCAUCGCCACCGCCGCCGCCGCCGCCGCCAGAAGAACGGGAUCCGCCCUACACGGCAAUAGAUUGGCGGGACGGUCUCAACCCUGCUAUCCGCGUUUCAGCAGGUAUGGUGCACACUGGCAUACAUACAUACAUACUAUUACUAGGGAGGUGCAUGCGCUCAGUAGAAGGGGGGUGUACAGCCAACCGUUGUAACUGAAAAUUAUACGUUGGAAAGGUCUUCUUUUGUUCUUUGUAAAAAAUCUACUUAGGCAUAGGAUAGAGGAUCGCUGCAGUCCUCCAGAGCGUUUCUUAGCUCCAUGCCGGUGUGGGCGCACCCCAAACCCCAUGUCUCGUGGCGUAUUUUGGCACAUAAGAGAAGACCCAGUGAUCACAGGAAAGCACACGGACGUCACACCGUUGAAGUCCCUGCGCUACAAACCCCCGUAAGGCCUAAACACAGCUCAAUCCGGCAUCUCUCAGUCCUCGUUCUGCGUUUCAGGGAUGUACGGCACACCCUCAGGGGUCCACAACAGCAGCUGCGUGUUCCCCUGGGUGCCCUGCUUUUGCAUUUGCUUUUGCUGCUGCUGCUGUGCUUCCUGCUCCUCCUCGUCCUCUUCUCACUGCUGGCGAAUCAGCUCAACCUCAUCCGCCACUGCACUGUGGUUGCCCUGCGAACCCGCGUUGCCACGUAUAGAUCACCCGCCCUGGAGUUAUUCUUCUGCGUCUUUAGCUUCUUAAACAUAUCGUGCCGGGUGCGGGGGACGUCAGGGGGGACGUCGGCGCCAGGCUGCAAGCCUCUGAGCCUCUGGCUGCAAGCCUCUGAGCGCCUUGUCAUUCUUUACACUAGAGUCCCUUGACAUUAUUUAUCACAAACCAUGCAUUGAGGCUCCGAAACGCGAGUAUGGCCCUUCAAACUACAGCUUGAUCGCAGAUCUCUACUUGGUCCAACUAAUACUUCACACUAUCCAAGCUCACAUCUAGUAAUACAUAGUAUUGUUUUUACUAUGCUAGUUUACUAUGUACGGACACAGGACGAGCGCCGUAAACUAGUGCCACUGUCAAGCCCCGCAUAGUAUAAAGUACUAUUCCUAGUACUAUCUAGUAUAGCACUAUUUUCUAGUUUAGUACCCGUGCCAACCUACAUACAUACAUACAUACAUGCAUACAUACGUGCAUAAGGGUUAGGCACCACAGGUAAGGCGCGACCAUUGCCCCCGGGAGAUCCCGGGAUCGAUAUCCGUUCGGGUCAAAGACCUUCCGAUGGUGGAAGGCAUUGCGCCCCUAGUUGAUGGACGGUGGUGACCUGGGAUAAAGUUAACCUGCGAGCCGACCAGGAACGGAGUUGGGCCGCUGUCGACCCGGCAGAUUCCGUUGGAUGCUGGUGGUGGGUGCGGAACCUGAGCGAUCCACUGAGAAAUUGACUAGGGUGACUGGAUGAGGGUGCCCCGAAAUACAGGGGAAGGCAGGGUUUCGCAGGGUAGCUGCCACGGGCGAAGAUACACCCCCCUGUUUCACACAUCAUACAUGCAGUGUUUCGGCUUCGGCCCCCGGCUCUCGCGGCCCAUAGUGUAAUCUAAGUCAUACAUACAUACAUACAUACAUACAUGCGGCUCCAAGCACCCCCAACAGCACUCAGGCGAUGGCUAUGAUCCUAAAGCGGGUCGGAUGGCAGAUGCCGGGCGGCACAACAACCGUCCCACUCACACGCCUGACGGUCCGCCUAGCGACACAGCUGCAAUGCGGGGCCACCGAGGAGAAACGGGGACGCUUGAUGGCAGCAUUUGUGCAAGAAGCGUUGCACCCGCAGGAAACGACACCUUCCUCCUCAGCGGAAACAAGCCGCUUCAGGGCGACGCAAGCCCGCUUGUGGUCGGGGGUGCGGUGGGAGAACGAGAACAAAGAAACGCUGUGGCGGCUCGCCGUGGACGGCAUCCCCCUGCCCGGCAACACGCACCUGGCCCGCAUGGUGCCGGAGCGCUGUGGGUGUGGAGGGUUCGGCAACGCCAGCAACCAGCACUGCUCCCCACGCAUGCACCACUUCUGGGAGUGCCCCGUCGCACAAGCUGUCCGGGAGCAGAUUGAUCGACACAUACAGCCCUCCCAGGAGGCAGCGACAGGCGGCAUCACCCGGAAGCAGCUGUGGCUGGUCCAAGCCCCGACCGGCUGCGAGCAGGCCCCCUGGGAUGUGAUNNNNNNNNNNNNNNNNNNNNNNNNNNNNNNNNNNNNNNNNNNNNNNNNNNGACUCAUUGUUUGAGCGUAGUUAUGGUUAUCUAAUUAGCCUGAAAAUGUCGCAGAGGCGACCAGCAGUGGCUGUUAGCCGCGGCAAUGUUCAAAAUGGCCGCCAGCCGACCUCAGCCGCGAGACCGCAAUCCAUACCGACCAAAAAGAUAAAGGCCGUCAGUGGCUUUUACGGAACAAAUGAAGGCUUGGCUUUCUACAGAGCCACACUAGAACUGGAACCGAUCGUGGUGACAGUCCGGUGGCCAGCGGGCUCAGAUACGGGCGACAUCAUCGCGCAAAUAUACGGUCCAUUAGGACUUCAAAUUCUGGCAACAAUUGGCCAAAUCUUCCGCAGCAACCAGGAGUUCAACCGCUGGGGAGGCCCUCGCAUUCAAAAACGGUUGCUUUAUCCGAUGGGAAGGGAACGGCACAUUGUGAUGGAACUCUCCAUCCUUGUGCCAAAAGGAGGUUUAGCAGCGUUGACAGCGACCAGGCGCAUCGUUAACGGGCGAUUGCGCGUGCCUGGGGUGCAAUUGACCCCGAACAUGGAGCCGAUGGAAGUGGAGCUGCUGGUGAAGAACCAGCAACAGGCUAAGCCCAUUGUGUGGGAGGUGAGAGGCGUCCCGGUCGGCCUCAGCUGUCAGGGCACGGCCGACUUCCUCACCCGGGCAUACCGGGCAGACCCCAGUCCCCAGGACGUGACGGAAUUCUCGCUCCUGGCCCCCACGACGAUGGCCGACACGUGGAGGCUGGAGCUUACCAGCAAUCGCGGCCUUCCGCGAGAACUCCCGUUUGAAUACGGGGAGCCAUCGGAGGCGUGCCACCAGAAGGGCACCCUUCAAGCGAUCAGGAAGACCCCCCUGGAAGGGGAACCUUUCCUGAUGCCCCAGCCACCCCCGCGAGCAGCACUCGCCCAGCAGCAAAGGGGAGACGGGGCGGCAACAAGCACCCGCCCAGGCCACAGUGGGCAGGUGACGGGAGUACAGGGGCGACUGACCAGAUUCUUGAGCCCGAUGGAUUUCGAUGCCAUCCAGAGAGACAGGGGUCACUGCUCUGGCGCAGCAGAGGGGGGGCCUGCAGGAGUUAACCCUCUGGGACCCCCCAGCGGCCCCAAGCCCAGAAGGGCGGUGGAUGAUGGCAGCGGGCUGAAUGGAGUGAGGNGGGGCAAGGGGGACAACAGCGGCAGUGGCCCCUCUAUCCCACCCCAGGGCAGUAGUGAAGGUGAUGCUGAGACGAGCUGGACAGUGAUGGGCAGGAAGGGGAGGNNNNNNNNNNNNNNNNNNNNNNNNNNNNNNNNNNNNNNNNNNNNNNNNNNCCUCCCCAGCCCGGGAAGACUCGUCGGGCUCCCGGUCGCCCAAGUCCUGGUAGCGAGCUCUCUGAGAUGCUCGGUUCGUUCGGUCGGCAGGAAGAGCCCCCCAGUUGCGACUUCGUUUAUGUUAGGAGACCAACGGGCAUAGAUCCCGUCUAGUUGGAGCGCCAAACAAGCGCUGUUGCGUGCCGGCCGUCGUUUCCCGUGCGGCCUGACCCGGGGGCGGAGUGCAUGAGACUAACCAGCCGUAUGCACCCGCCCCCCGCGCUGUGCUUCGGCCCUGGGCCCCCGGCUUUUCAGCCCACAGUGUAAUCAACGUCAUCAUACAUACAUACAUACAUACAUACAUACAUACAUACAUACAUACAUACAUACAUACAUACAUACAUACAUACAUACAUACAUACAUACAUACAUACAUACAUACAUACAUACAUACAUACAUACAUACAUACAUACAUACAUACAUACAUACAUACAUACAUACAUACAUACAUACAUACAUACAUACAUACAUACAUACAUACAUACAUACAUACAUACAUACAUACAUACAUACAUACAUACAUACAUACAUACAUACAUACAUACAUACAUACAUGGAUGAGACCAAGCUUGACUAAGCUGCUACUAUGACCGUCGGCCAACCGCGGCCGUGGCCACCGACAGCGACCUCUAUUGUUUGAGCGUAGCUAUGGUAUCUAAUUAGCCUGAAAAUGUCGCAGAGGCGACCAGCAGUGGCUGUUAGCCGCGGCAAUGUUCAAAAUGGCCGCCAGCCGACCUCAGCCGCGAGACCGCAAUCCAUACCGACCAAAAAGAUAAAGGCCGUCAGUGGCUUUUACGGAACAAAUGAAGGCUUGGCUAUCUACAGAGCCACACUAGAACUGGAACCGAUCGUGGUGACAGUCCGGUGGCCAGCGGGCUCAGAUACGGGCGACAUCAUCGCGCAAAUAUACGGUCCAUUAGGACUUCAAAUUCUGGCAACAAUUGGCCAAAUCUUCCGCAGCAACCAGGAGUUCAACCGUUGGGGAGGCCCGCGCAUUCAAAAACGGUUGCUUUAUCCGAUGGGAAGGGAACGGCACAUUGUGAUGGAACUCUCCAUCCUUGUGCCAAAAGGAGGUUUAGCAGCGUUGACAGCGGCCAGGCGCAUCGUUAACGGGCGAUUGCGCGUGCCUGGGGUGCAAUUGACCCCGAACAGGNNNNNNNNNNNNNNNNNNNNNNNNNNNNNNNNNNNNNNNNNNNNNNNNNNUCACUGCUCUGGCGCAGCAGAGGGGGGGCCUGCAGGAGUUAACCCUCUGGGACCCCCCAGCGGCCCCAAGCCCAGAAGGGCGGUGGAUGAUGGCAGCGGACUGAAUGGAGUGAGGGGGGGCAAGGGGGACAACAGCGGCAGUGGCCCCUCUAUCCCACCCCAGGGCAGUAGUGAAGGUGAUGCUGAGACGAGCUGGACAGUGAUGGGCAGGAAGGGGAGGAAGACCCCGGCGACGGCUGCAAAGGCUGCACCAGCAGAGACCAACCCCUUUUUGGUGCUGGCGGAGCUGAGGGGAGAGGAGGACGCCCCCACAGAUGUUCCUGCUCCAAUGGGGGGGAAUACACCUAUGGCCACACAACAACCGGGGGAUCCAGCAGCAGCAACAACAUCCCCCGCAGCGAACCCCAAUGGGAUUUCUUCCACACCCACGGCCACGGCCGUGGAAGGAGCACCGGCGGCAGCAGCACUGCCGGGGGCACCAGAAGCAGCAGCACUGGACCCAACCCCACCCCCCACAGUGAACCCCAAUGGGAUUUCAUCCGCACCCACGGCCACGGCCGUGGAAGGAGCGCCGGCGGCAGCAGCACUGCCGGGGGCACCAGAAGCAGCGGCACUGGACCCAACCCCACCCCCCACAGCGAACCCCAAUGGGAUUUCAUCCGCACCCACGGCCACGGCCGUGGAAGGAGCGCCGGCGACAGCAGCACUGCCGGGGGCACCAGAAGCAGUAGUACUGGACCUAACCCCACCCUCAGCGGCACCGGACCUCCACAAGGGGAAAGCAUGCAAGCCCCGCCAGACCCAAGGAAUAAAGAAAAUCCGCAGGCCAGACCUGACGGGGGAAGCCAGGCGCACGUUCUUUCUGGCGCAAACAGCUGCAGCCCGAGCAGCCCGCAAACAAUCCGCAGAACUGGCCCAGCGAACUAAGGACCAGAAGCGGCUGAUCCAGAAAACGUCGGCAGCGGAGAGGCGCAGCGAGCUUAUCCAGUCUACCCGUAAGCAGAAGGCGAAAGAUGCCGAAGCCACCCAGGGGACCCAGGCCUCGGGGAGGGAGCUGGGGACUGCUGCUGCGGAGGGGGACGACACGAUUAUGGAGGCGGAAUCGAUGGGCUCCCCAUCCCAGAGCCUAAUGUUACACUUCCCCACCGCCUCCCAACCUGGUUUUAAAGACCAGCCCACUGCCACCCCCACCCAACUCUGUUGAUGGAAGCGACGACCACAAUCAAGCGCCAACAGGGCGCAAUGCAGGGACGGCCACUUCGUAUUGCAACACAGAACAUGCAGGGUCUGCUGGCCAAACACAAGGACAAGAUUCAUGCAGCGGCCAAACAGUGGAUAGAGAUGGGGCUGGAUGUGAUCUGCCUGCAGGAAACCCACCACACCAAUGCCCACCACCAAUCCCUGUUUGAACGCGAGCUAAGCAUGGCAGCUGCAACAGCCCACAGCCGGGGCUGGCGAGUAGUGGCCAGCUCGUGGUCUAACUCCAUCCACACGGGGGGCGUCCUUACCCUCGUCCGACAAGGCCUAACAGCUACCGUGGAGACCAAGCCUAAUAAGUCGAGUGUACAGGGUCGGCUGACGAGCUGCCUGCUUCGCUGGGGAGGACACUGCAUUGAGGUCUGCAACAUCUAUGUCCCCACCGGCACUACUCAUAGAGCAGCAGCCCUCAGGCAAGAACUGAUCAGCAACAUCCUGGCAGCAACGGCCACGCAGGCAGAUACAAACAAUGACACCACCCUUAUAUGGGCGGGGGACUUCAACUUUGUCGAAAACCCAGCGCUGGACUCCACAGCGGGGGAGGAUGGGCGGAGGGGAGAUGGCCCCAUAGCAGAAAUGCUCCGCACAGCUGGGCCAGCCAUGAUGGAUAGUCACCGUCAGCUUCAUCCCCUGCGCCAUGACUACACCCACCUCUACCGAGCGCCCCGCCCAGGAGGCUCCCGACUGGAUCGCAUUUAUGUGAAUCAAGCCGUGAUGCCGUAUGUUGCUCGCACGGAGAUUAUCCAGCACACCCCGUCAGAUCACCAGCCGAUGGUCCUACACCUGCUGCCUCGCCGGGUUGAACAGAGGGGCCCGGGCAUUCGCCGGGUGCGCAUGGCCUUCACGGCGCAUGAAGACCUGGCCACGAGCCUGGAGGCCUGGAUUACCGACCAGUGUGCUGCGGCCCCAUCUGUGGAGGACAAUCCUGCUGGCCUGAUCGAGUGGUGGCCUGCCUUCAAACGCCGCCUCGCUACUCGUGCACAUCAGCUCAACAAAACAGCGCAACAUCGCAGGCUGCGCCCAGGAGCCCGUGUACAAGCAGCCCUACCAGCAGUCCAGCAGGCCCGACAAAGGGUCGACACAGAGCCCGGAGCACAGCAGCCCUUACAGCAACUGGUGGACGCACAGGCGGCACUAGCACGGGCCCACCGAGAGGACUGCAGCAAGGAGGCGAUGGAGGCCCGCAUACACUGGCUACGGGCAGGGGAGCGGCCGAGCCCAGCCAUGACUGCGUUCAUCCAGGCCCAAAGCGCGGACCAACAACCAGCUCCCGUCGCCCUGCAAGCCCAGUCCGGCCGCCUAGUGACUAAUCCUAGCCAGCUUCCCCAGGUGGUCGCAGACUUCUGGAGUGAAGUGAGCUGAGCUCCCAACUACAUCUGCCCCCAAGCCCAGCAGGAGGUGCUAAACUCCCUGGCGGCCGCCAACAUGUCGCUACCCGCAGAGGCAGAUGAACAGCUGGGAUCCAGAACCAUCACGGCCACCGAGUUACGAAAGGCUCUUAAGAAAAGCCAGCCUGGCAAGGCCCCGGGGUGGGACGGCAUCCCAGCCGACAUCUACAGGAAAUUCUGGUCGGCCAUUGGCACCACCAUGGCUGGCCUGCUCACCGCCAUAGGCUUGACGGGGCAGGUGCCGAAGGGCUUCUUGGAGGGGGUACUGACGGUGAUCUACAAAAAAGGCGACCCCAAACUCCCUGGCAACUACCGUCCUAUCACCCUGCUUUGCUCGGACUACCGACUGCUCACCAAAGUGCUGGCAAACCGCCUAGGCCCUGCCCUUGGCCAAGUCAUAACCCCCGAGCAAUCAGCCUUCCUACCCAGGCGCCUUAUUGGAGCCAGUGUGCUAUUCCUGCGUCACCUGUCACACCUCCUUCGCAAGCAGAACCGCCGGGGGCUCCUGGCAUUCCUGGACUUCGCCAAGGCCUAUGACACGGUGGAUCGUGGGUUCCUCCUGGCAGCAAUGGAGACCAUGGGUGCAGGGCCACAGCUCUGCGCCUGGGUACGACUGCUGCUGAGCGAAACGCGAGCCCGAGCGAUGGUGAAUGGCUACAAAUCGAAGCUGGUGAACAUGGAAGCAGGGGUACGGCAAGGGUGCCCCCUCGCACCCUUGCUCUACCUCUUCGUUGCUCAGGCCCUACAAUGCUGGCUCCGGAGCCAAGACGUGGGGAUCAAAUUACAGCCGGCCGACUCACAACCAGUCACCGCGUGCCAAUAUGCGGAUGACACGGAAGUGGCGCUGCAGGGUGAAGACUCAGUACCAUCGUUCCUCCAGGCCAUGGACACCUUUGCCCGGGCAUCUGGCCAACGCCUAAAUCUCGACAAAGUGGAGCUGCUGUGGAUUGGCCAAUUAAACCAACAGCAGGCGCAACCUGCUCCCGGAGUGUCCGAAUCCAAAUCCGCCUGCCAACUCCUCGGGUGUUUGAGGAGUGUUGAAAUGGGAGGUGGCCGCCCAUCUUAUGGACGGUGUAGGACGUGAUAACAUCAACUUGCGAGCUGACCAGGAACUAAGUUGAGGCGCCGUUGAUCCGCUAGAUUUGGUUGGAUGCUAGCGGUGAGUUGCGGAACCCAACGAAUACAUUCUGAAAUCGGACGGGGUGAAUGGAUUAGGGCGCCCCUCUCGCAGGGAAGAGCAGGGACUGCCUCGGGAAAGGGGGCCGCUGGUGAAGCUUAACCACCCUGUAACAACAUUCAUACAUGAGGCUUGGGGGUAAAAGAGGGCUUGGGUUAUUUCGGGGGUAGGUCGAGGGGUUAGGUUGAGGGGGGAGGUGGGGGGUGUGGGGGAGUAGGGAUGGGGGGCGGAGGUUUGUCGCAGGGCGGCGGGGAGGGAGGGGUUACGGGUCCUAGGGAGCUGUGCCGGCGAGUCGGUGAGACAGAAGCGGGGGGAGCGAGAAAGGUAGAAGGGUGGGGUGAGGAGGAGGGAGGUAGAAGGGUGGGGUGAGGAGGAGGGAGGUAGAAGGGUGGGGUGAGGAGGAGGGGGAGGGAGAGGUGAGGGGAGAGCACCAAGAGGAUGUAAGGUUGAGGAGUGGUUGGAGUCAGCAGGCGGCUGUAGUGAGGGCGCGCAUGAGUGGGAGGUUGGUGCCCACUCAGGUUCUCGUUGGUGCCCACGAGGGGCCGUACUUCUAGGUCCGCGCGUGCUGCAGGGCUGCUGGGUUCUCUCGGGGUACGAGGCUAGGGGUUCUCGUGUUGCUGGACGUGGUGAGUAAGGGAGGGCCUUGAGCGCCAGCCGUCUUGGUAGAGCGGUAAGGGGGGGCCGCCGAGCUGGCUACCCGUCCCCCCUGCGAUGUUUUCAGAGGCCUGGUCGCCGGGUGUCGUGGCAGGAUCUCCCUGUUCGCGCACUUUUCGAGGUGGCCCCAACGCUAUAUAGGGGGAUGGAUACGUGCGGUUAAUACCUCCCCCUCUGCGGUUAAUACCUCCCCCUCUGCGGUUAAUACCUCCCCCUCUGCGGUUAAUACCUCCCCCUCUGCGGUUAAUACCUCCCCUGGACGAGCCCAGGGAGGGAACGGCGGGGUUGGGAAGUGGUCUCGGGAGGCUGCUUGGCGUCUUUGUGCUCUUUUUGCGCUCUUUCUGUUUGAGGCUUUUUUGAGCUUGGUGGCCUCCCCAGCCCGGGAUGACUCGUCGGGCUCCCGGUCACCCUGGUCCUGAACGCGUUCUCUUUGAGUUUUUUCUGCACAUUCUGCCCGUAGGAAAAACUCCCUGGGUGCGACUUCGUUUUUGUUAGGUGGCCAGCGGACCUAGAGCACGUUUAGCUGUAGCGCUACCCCCCGGUGAGGAACGCUGCUUAGUGCCGGCCGUCGUACCUCUCGCGCGGUCUGACCCGGGGGCGGAAUGCAAGCUGACCCGGGGGCCGACAGAGAUAUGACUGCAAUUGAUUUAUUACGCCUGGGUAUGUACGCUUGGCAGGGAGGCCCUAUUCACCCUGAGUGAGCAGCAAAGGGCACACCCAAGCGUUGGAGACCUAGUCUCUCACAUGGCGACUGUAAAGUAACAAUCAAUCUUGCUACUCGCUGGUGGCGAUGAUCAUGGCCUACGUACCUAACCGAAACGCCGGAAUCCCACUGCGACAACCCGAUGGUGCUUACACGCAUACAAUACUAGCUCCAUGCAUGCGAGCACGCACCCCUAGCCCUUAUGGGGCAACCAGUAAAUUAAUUCGCUGCUGGUUACGUAGUCUAUCUCCAUCUGCCAAGCUAAUGCUAUGUGCAUACAUACACCACUAAGUCAUACAUACAUACAUACAUACAUACAUACAUACAUACAUACAUACAUACAUACAUACAUACAUACAUACAUACAUACAUACAUACAUACAUACAUACAUACAUACAUACAUACAUACAUACAUACAUACAUACAUACAUACAUACAUACAUACAUACAUACAUACAUACAUACAUACAUACAUACAUACAUACAUACAUACAUACAACGGGCAUAGAUCCCGUCUAGUUGGAGCGCCAAACAAGCGCUGUUGCGUGCCGGCCGUCGUUUCCCGUGCGGCCUGACCCGGGGGCGGAGUGCAUGAGACUAACCAGCCGUAUGCACCCGCCCCCCGCGCUGUGCUUCGGCCCUGGGCCCCCGGCUUUUCAGCCCACAGUGUAAUCAACGUCAUACAUAGGUCAGGCACUACUGGUAAGGCACGGACCAUUGUCUCCCGGGAUCGAGACCUAUCAGGGUUGAAAUCCUUCCGAUGGUGGAAGGUUAAAUGCCCCUAGUUGAUAGACGGUGGUGACCUGGAAUGGAGGUGGGCCGCCGUCGAUCCGGCAGAUUCCGUUGGAUGCUGUUGAUGGAUGCGGAACCUGAGCGACCCACUGAGAAGUUGACUAGGUUGACUGGAUGAGGGUGCCCCGAAUUACCAGGGAAGGCAGGGUUUUGCCGAGUAGCGGGUGAAGAUAUGGCCCCCUGUCCCACACAUCACACAUACGCUGCUGCCCCGCCACCCACCCACACAGGUCAAAGUUUGACGAUGAAAUCCCUGGUCUGGUACUUAGUUGGCUAUGACAACAGAGCCAGCUACCCAAACGUCGAUGCGUUGUCGUAUUUGGAUUUCAAGAACGUAUUGGUGGAACCGCAAGGAACCAUGUGGAUUGAAGAUGUGACUAUGGUGCUAGGGAAGGACGUUUUUUCCUUAUUCCUGACCACCAUCUGCACCAACCAUGACGCCUGGCCAUACAAUGCCGGCGUGACUGUGGAAGACGGCGUCAUGCACAUCCGAAACUUGACUUCCCGGACGCUCUGGCAGGGGGAAACAGGGGCAGGCGGGGAGGCGCACUGGCGCAAUAUAACGUUGACAUGUCCAGGGGUCCUUGGCGGCGGCCUGCAGGAGAAGCCACGGCCCUGCGUGGCCAAGGCAGCGUCGAACUGGAAGGAGUUAUAUGCCGCGUCUCUUAAGGCUCUACUUGACGAGGCCGCGGACACAGUGAUUCUGUCCAUUACUGCUGACGUGGCGCUGCCGACGGACGGCAGCUGGGAGCAGGUAAGCGGUCGUCUUCUACUUUUUUAUGCUCUGUAGAUGAUAACCUGCUAUGACAGAUAGGACCAUGGCAGACGACAUAGAAACUUGAUAAAAACGUCACCCCUUAUUCCUACGUCAACGCUUGGACAGCAGAUCUCCUUGGGGUUCCUCUUCCUUGGUUGGCAUUGCACCUUGAUCACACGCACGUCAUUUUGGCAUUUUGCAGUGGAUGUUGUGAUUCAGUCACUCGAGGUGCCUGUAAUACCCCGCUGCAACAGCAGUAAUAACCGUGAUCGUGUUGGGCUAUGUCAAAUUGUUACAUAUUUAUUGCAGAUAAAAGGCGAAACCUCAAAAAUCUACAUUUUAAUGAGAUCCGUGUUGUACUCACACAAGAGAGAGUGUGUGUAUGUAUGUGUGUGUGUGUGUUAUACAUGGGCGUGGGGUGCGUUCCCCGUACCUGUGUGUGAGAACGUCAUCACGGCCUUGGCUCUGACCCAAGGCGUGUGUGUGUGUGUGUGUGUGUGUUCAAGAUAUUAUAUACCAAUGCAAUCUAACAUAGAACACCCUUGAUUAUCCAUCCGCGAGUGCAGGUGCCUAUAAACCCAAACCGGCAGCACCUUACACUCCUGGGCGACCCCAGCAGACGCACAACCCUAGACCUCGCUCAAGUCACGGACGUAUGGGGCAUUGUGGCGCCGCCGUUCAGUGGCGGCGAUCGUAACGCCAACAUUACGAAACCCCCACCAGGCGGCCAGCCCGUGAUAUUGCUGUACAACCUCACCCUCGUCAACAUGCCGCACGUGACAUGGCCUCACGGGCCCAUGAGCCUGAUGGCUGCGUCGUUGCCUUGCUUCGCAAUUGCAAGGUUGGUUGGUCAUCAACAUGUCCGUAUAUAUUUAGCAUUACUUCUUUCUCCUAAAGCAUCGCACUGGGGCGUCUGACUGGAAUUAUGUACGAACGGCGGCGGCAGCGGAUGCAGGAACGGUAGUCACACACGGCUUACAGGUAAAGGCCUGAAGCAGCAGGGCCUGGGUUGACGGGUCAGAUGCCUUCUCACAUCGCUGCUGCGGUGCCGCCAAUCUCCCUUUUGUCCGCAGGGGGAUGCCUUUGCAAUCAGGCGAUACACUGUAUCAGCAGAUCAGAGCUAUCCACAGUACGGUUGUCGUAUCGGAUGCGGAGCUGGAAUUCUUCCUAAAGCUACCGACAGUAGGCAACGGCAGCACUGUCUGGCCUGCGCAGCCCCAUCCCGGUGCCUUCAACAUCGUGCUGAAGGUGAUUGCGAUACGGGAAAUGCGAAGAAGGGCGAACGGAAAGCAGGGGAUGGGGAUGGGAGGAGAUUAAACCAGCAGACGACUGAUGGAUAGAUAGGUUGAUGCAGCACCUAGCUCUCCAGGCGACAGAUAGCAGCACGCGGACGGGUAAUUGAUAGCUGCAUUACGUGCCAGCUUGUACGCCUUGUCUGGCGUUUGCUUGUCCCUCUGCUGCGCUUGAUCGGAGUCAUGCACUGCGAUCAAACCAGGUUGUUUUUUGCCCUACACUUGGCCGGCUGCCUUUCAAACCGAAUUUCGCAAUUUGCCUCCGCUCGCAAGCAUUCCUCUCUCUGAUGUAUGCAUCUCUACCGAACUGUCCUUUGGCAACAUGCAAAUACGCACGGGGAGAUGUAUCUAUGUCUUUCAUUGGGGGCAGGAGGGGGACUACAUCCUCGCAGGACCUAGUUAGGCAACGGAGAUAUAGCAUCCAAGCGCACGAGCUGUUGCCACCUUGCCAGCUUAUCACCUCCGUCUUUGGAGUGUUGGUCGUUGUAGUAAGCGGCUGCAAAGCCACAUGUAACUGUACAGUUGAUCCGUGAUUUGUACACAGCCUUGUUGUGAGUCAGUAUAUAUCGGUCCACUGUCCACACACACACACACAUUAUACAUGACAUAGCAACCAAACGCAACGUUUGCUUUCCUUCAUGCAUUUGCAGGAGGACACGAGGAACGACAUGUUACCAGCAGGGCUGACACCCCAGCAGGGCCUGCUGCCUUUGAGUCGACUUACCCUGGCGUCCGAGGUGAUAAAUGGGUAUUUGCACGAGGUUGCAGCAUGCAUGCUACGUGCCUGGACAGGGGCGGGGUUCGCCAUGCACGAAUGCAUUUGAAGCCAGGCGCAUGUUGCAUGUACGUACGUACGUAUGUAUGUGCACGCGCCUGCCUGAGAAUGGUGCGUUGUAUCCGGCGCUCCGUCUCCCCACCACACGAACACGUCCCGUCUGUUGCGCGUCCGUUAUACACCUAUCCUUGUAUAACCCAUUCUUGCGUUUCCCUGCCGCUGCGUCUCCCUGCACAUUCACCUACGCGCUUCUGUAGUAUCCUGGGUACAUCACGGGAUCUGCAUCCGCCGAUCGGCUAUCUGAAGUCGUGGUAAACAGUUCCCCCCUGCCCCCGCGUUUCCCUGCCCCCGCGUUUCCCUGCCUGCUGUGCCAUCGACCCGCUCCGCCCAGCCCGCUUGCUUAUCUCUUCACAAAUGACCCCGACUUGUCACAGGACGGCACGGUGUCUUCCUCCCACCGCUACCCGUUUAGGUGCUUCUGACCGACUGCGAGCUCGUGUCCGCGAGCCGUUACCAGCAGCUUCCAGGUGCCGUACAGCUACUACCACAGUCGCGAAUCUGGCUGCCGCAGAUUAUUGAGGAUCGAGAUCCCGCCACAGUUGCACAGUGGGUGCGUGUUUCGGUGUCCGGUGCUCGUCAUUGUGCUUCUAUGGGUGAGGCUAGGUGGUUGGGUAGUAAUGCACGGCGGCUGUCGAUCUAUGAUGAUGAUUCAUCCAGCUCAGGAAACCAUCGCAGAAUUUUGACGUGUUGUCAAACUUCUAUAGGGCACGACCUAUAGGCCGUAUUUGGUUUUGGUUUUGGUUUUGGUUUUGCAGACGUUAGGGUCUAGUGGGGUUUGUUUCGUUUUGGCUGUCGCCUUGUUUUUAAGGUUGCGUUGGUUGUGUGAAAGCAAUUUGCAACAGGUACAUGGACAGCAUCAUGACAGCAGAACACAUCCGUAUCUGCCUUCCUUUGCAUUCCACAUAACUGUUGAAUCACUGACUGUGCCCCGAGCUCGUGGGGAUGUGCAUAUGUGUGUGUAUAUGUGUGUGUAUAUGUGUGUGUUACCUAUGGCCGAUGGUGCGUAAACUUAGUACCUGCGAAACGCGUACCAUCCCGGGGCUCCGGUUCGGCUUCCCAAUGCCUGCCAAGAGACCCGUAGUAUAACUACAAAUCGCAGCUGCCGCUGCUGCUGCUGCCGUUGCCGCCUUCAGACCAGCUCGCGCCGUUUGUCCCCCAACUGUCCUCUUGAAGGGUCCCGCAGGUUUGGCGGUGUUCCCGGGGCUACAGCAGGCGCUUGCUGACCUGGCCUCCUGCGACUCGCGACCCGGAUACAACCCCCUGCGGCUAAUUUGGAGGUGUGUGCGCCUGUGGGUAUAUGGGUAUAUGCUUGCAAUCGAUCAAGAAAAUCUGCAUAAUUUCCAGGACUGUGCCCUAGGGCCAUCUCUUUGGCCUAUCUAUUACACCAGGGCACGAUCCAUAGACCUGUAGUAGCUGGCCGCUGGGAAGACUUCUCAAGCAAGGCGAUGGCAGAGGGCGCUUAUUUCUAGACGACGUAUGUGCCGUACAAAAUACAAUGCAUGUGUCGUAAAAAAAUAUGUUUUCUAGGCGAUGUAUGUGUCGUAAAUAAAAUACGACCAAAAGCUGAAAGUUCCAAAGGAAAAGAAGGAAAAAUAAAAAAAUAUUUUUUACAGAGGUAUUCCUGCUAAGUAAGAUAUAGCCACGCUGAUUUCGUAACCCCCCCGUCUCCUCGCCCGCGCAGCUCAGCUCUUUUGGCUUUCCCUCCGACACGCAGCUCUUCCCUUUUUAUUUCUCCAGGCACCAUGAUAUGACCAUCCCGCCAUUGAACUCCAAGGACUACUACUUCACGUCGGUCAUCACUCUUUCCCGGAGUGACAACGACGCGGCUCUGGCGGAAACUUGUGUCGUCGAUGGAGGCACACACCAGAUCCCGGACCUCACGAACAGCUUCAGCCACCCUGCCAGCAGCAACAGCGAUAGCGACGUGGCCGAGGUGCAGCUGCCAAAAGGCGAUGCACGCGUGUUUGCAGACCUGCAGGUAGGUUUUAUGAAUCGAUGGUCCAUGUACAAAACGUAUGCCACAUGCGUACGGCGGGGUUGGCGACGGGAAGGGGGCACCGGCGGGCGCAGGGGAACAGGGACUCUACAGCAGCAGAGAGAACGGAGAACGGCCUUGCUCGCACGUGGUUUAGCGGUGGAUGCAGUGGUAUAUAGAUAGAUGUGGCUAGCUCUGUGGUGUAUGCGUGUUUUAUGUAGGCCGCGUGCGUGUACAUAUUUUCUCAUAUUUGUGAGUGCAUAAGUACGUGGGAGUUGGACACAUGAGCAGCCAGGCAUAAUAAAUGGGUCGUCAUGCAUAUUCACCUAGGUUAGGAGAAAAACAGCUACAGCUUACAGCGGCUUUCACUACGCACCGGCUUAGGCUGCGUCUCAGUCACCAUUGCUAACUAUUGAUAUCACCAAGGCAUCAAUAGGUUGCGGAAUCGAAGCAAUAAGUGUCUGGCCCAGGUUGAGCCUUAUAGGUGACAACCGGCGUGCCUUAACAAGGCUUUAUUAUUGCUUUCCCUGCCGGCUGACCGGCCCCCCAUUACCCGCCCUGCACCUUGCAGGGUGCCAUCGGUCGCUUCUCCCUCGUCCGGCCCAUCACGCUCCGAAACCUUGUUCUCUAUAAUCUGGCACCGGGAGGGGUCUACCCGAUCGACAAGCCCGUCGAUCUGCCCAGCGGAGAGGCGUCUGCCAGACGGCCAUUGCUGCACUGGUCAGAUGCCGCCUGGGCUAACAGCUCCCUGCCCUUGUGGUUUUUCAGCUACACCAGGUGCGAUAUGCGUAUUUAUAUAUAGCUAUUUUGGGGCCGCCCUGCGGUACGUGGAGCUGGACACAGGAGCCCCCUGCUGAUCUGUAUGUAUGUAUGUCGUUACAGGGUGGUUAAGCCUCACCAGCGGCCCCCUACGUGUAUGAACAGCUGCGUGCAUCAUCUGAGCAUGCACGUAUGUCGGGGGCCGCUGCGGGUGUAUGUGUUGCAAGCAUGGUUUGGAUUAUAUUGGUUGACAGAUUACCCGUUGCAUGCUUACCUGUCGUGCGUGAUACCUGCGUACUGAGACUAACCGGUGUUUUUUGGCACAUAAUGAUGAGGGGUGUGUGCCUGCAGUCGAAAACGUUUACAUAUCGGGCUAUCGAAAGCGGCAACGGCUGUGGCAGAAACAAUUACAGUGACAGCAGGAAACGGUUUCAAAGGCUAGGGCCGCACGAACUGCGAUUGCGCCUUAAAGGUCCGCCUGGUUGGUGAUUUGUGCGUUGAUUGGUGCUGGGGGGUGUCGGUUGGUCUCACCGUAUCCCACUGCGUAGCUGGUGUUUUUGACCGCCUGCGGGCAACUCCCCGACUUAUGAUUUUCGUGUUUUUUACACGGGUUGUAUGCGUGUAUGCCGUCAUAUCUCAACAGGUCUGACCGAGCAAACGGGCCUCUCGUUCUCGAGAACGUGACCUUGGUGGUUCCGGAGCGCGAGUGGCGGGCGUUUGUGGCGGUUGUGCUGCAGAAGCAUGCAUGGGCAGCCACCGUAUCGACGCAGCCGUCGCCGCAAUCUCCAGGGGACCAGCAAUGGCCGCAGCCACAGUCCCCGCCGCCAUCAUCGUUCCGAUCGGAGGAUAACUUGCUGGUGGACCAUCCGGCAAUCAGACCUCCUUCCGCUGUAAGGAGGUCACAGCUGGCAGACGAUGGUACAGGUGCACGUAAUGGUGAUGUGGGAGAUGGCGGGACGUCAGGUACCCCGCUCGCCUCCACGUAUCCAUCCCCGGCAAUGGCGCUGCCGGAGGCACCCAAUUUCUUUUCGGUCGAUUAUCCAGAUUUUCCAGAUCUUCCACCCCGUGCACCCCCGGACGCUCCACCAUAUCUGCCAACUCCACCGCCGCCGCCGCCCCCGAGUCCGCCAUUGCCGCCCUGGCCGCCGCCGUCGCCCCCCUAUGCUGCAAUAACCGAAGAGAUGCUCCUUGACUUUGCUGCCACGUCCCUGGUGGGUUCGCAAGGUAUCGGUGGUGGAAGCCGUCCCUUACUAAGCAGCGGCGGGACAUAAAUAGGCCACGAAAGGGUAGCUGGAGAGUGCGUUUAUUGUAGCCGAUUAAUUUUAGCUUUAGGUUAACUGAAGCUGGUUCAUCGUAGCUGACUGAAGUUUUUACGCAUCAUCGUCAUCACCAUCAUCGUCAUCGUCAUCGUCAUCAUCAUCACACGUGUUCCUCCUGUUCUUCAUGCUGCUGCUACAGCCCUCGUACUACAAUUACAGUUCGGGCCAGCUGGUUCUGGCGGCUGCUCGCCAUUACGGCUGGAGCGGAACCAAUGUAACGCUCACAUACAAGCUGCCCGAGGAUGCGCCGGAGGGCACCAAGCUGCUGCCGUACAGCGAGCUCCUCCUGCCGUACGAUUGGCUCGCCGGUACGUAUUUUUUUUGUGCGUGGACCUACAUGUACGACACACGCACAUGGAACGGCCGAGGCUUUGGUUGAUGCCUCGGACGUGGUAUUCAUUAACAAGCACGCUUGGCAUACUCUCGGCCACGGAGUGAGAUCCCCUGAUUCACAGGAAGAGCAGCAGCGGGGCCCCGUCGGGUCGCCCUUCGCCAUGCAUGCAUACAUCUACUUUACUGAUGUGAAUGCGAGAUUGUCCGCUCACCUGAAACCUCUCACUUCCCUUCGCCGGUCGUCUAAAUGCACCACCUCACCACCUACCCGAGUAUCCAUACCGCCGUGUGUUUGUGCAACGCAUCUGCCUGCAGAGGAGGACAUCGACGUGCCAGUCAACUUCGAUAACAUUGCCGGUGACAUUAUCCGAUAUGUGGUCGACGUGCCGUUAAAUCUUUUUAACGAAACUACGCAGCCACCCAGGGCUCCCGAUUCGCCGAGUCCUCACGGUGAUGGCAUGAACCAGCCUUCCAUUUCCAAACCGCCGGCCCCAGUGGGCCCCAUCAUGAUACAGAGCCAACCCUUCUCGCCCUCUGCCUCCUCAACUAGAACGGCUCCCACACCGCUCCAGCAGACUUCAGGCCGCACACCGUCCUUCGCCUCUUACGUGCCUGCCGCCACCCAUGGACCCCAUCCCGCCGUGGUGGCAGUCCUGACUGUGGGAGGCUUCCUCCUGAUCAUGGCUGCAGCCGUCGGCAUCUUCUUAGCAAUCAGCCGCGCCAGGCAGCGGCGGCGCCAAGGACACGCGUUUGAGGGCAUCCCCCCGGGCGAUCCCACUGCCACGAAGGCCCAUUCGGUGCCUAUGUCAUCGUCAUCAUCAUCGCGAUCAGCCCACUGGUGGAACUUGUCCGCCCACCGUCGUCGUCAGCACUUCAGCGAUGAAGACAGCAGCACCCUCCCGCCGCCGAAUAGCAAUACUACCCACUCGCAGCCUGUAUCAAGUGGGCAGGACGGAAGUGCUGAACAGCAGCAGCAGCAGCAGCAGCAGCAGCAACCAGUGAUGGUGGUAGUACUGGGAGAUGACGAUAACCACGGCGGCAACGUCGCAGCGAGGCCUGAUGGUGGCGCUGGGGUGGGUGCAACCCCCGCCGGCGGCGGCAUGUCGACAGCUUCUGGGAGCUCUAUGCCCGUAAUGCAGCCGCUGGCGCAAGCGGAGCCCUUCCAGCCUGUUGCUGCUGCUGCUGCUGUAGCUAUUACGACUACUAAUGCGGCUGCAGCGGCGGUCCUGGACGGACUCGGAGAUCAGCAGCGUCAGAGACCAAGCAGCAGUAGCGCUGCUGCGGCUGGGAUACUGCCUGUUCGCGGCCGCGGUUCUAGAACGGCCGAGGUGUGGCGAAACAAAGUAUCACAAAUCACGCAAUCCAUGUUCUGCCACCACGUCUGGGCCUUGCUUUCCACAGGGUUCUGCAUAGAGCUCUGUAGUCGUCACUCAGUCGUGCCCGGUCUGCGCUUUUCCUUACGUUUUGGUUUCUCCCCUCACAAGGUAUCGCUUUUCCUCUCUGCAUUAUACUUUUAUUCGCUUGCUGUCAUGCAUGGUGAAUAUGGUGAAUCCAAUGUUUUCCUGUGUCAACCCCGCGGGGACGGGCCGCCUGCUUUUGCUUGCAGGCCAACCGCAUUGCCCUUGCGCAUGCCUUGGCUCAAGGUAUGACCGCAUCAAGGGUAGCUGAUGCUGGACCAAACAUGGCAACUGCUGCUGCUGCUGCUGUUCCACGACGGCAUGAGCUGCAGCUCGACAAGCAGAGAGGCGACGAUGGUGGGCCCAGCGGCGGGGGUGGCACUGGGGGGCACAGCGCUGUCGCGGCUGCACGACCUAACGGUACAGCGGACAGUCAAGUCUUCGCCUUGGAGAUGCAGGUAUGUAUAAAUGUGUUGGAUCGGGGGUUUUGGCUUCACCUCCUGGCAGUCCCUACCUUCCCGAGUACUUCCCAGCAACCUCAUCUUUUCACCCAUGCCGAGUUCCGCGACCUCAGUGGCUUUUUCGGGUUUUCAGCACCCACUGCCAUCGGCAUCCUCCAGUGGAAUCUGCCGGAUCAACUGCGGCAACAACUACGGCCCUGGUCGAUGCGCAGGCCACUAUACCUGCCCUUGCUGCCUGCCUGUACUGCUGCUUUAUUGAUGAUACCAUGUUAAGCCUGCGGGUUUCCCGGGCCGGCUCUGGCUUUGCCGGGCACCAUACAUGUCUUGGACAGAACUACUACCGAGAGCUGACGAGGUCCACUGGCGCGGAGGGCGCGGAGCUCAACCAGCAUCCAAAAGCGAAGAGUGCGGAGGAGGUGGUAGCGGACAUGCGCCAGAUGACGUCGCGCUUGUCAACACUUUGGAGGCAGCAUGGCUCCGCACGUAUCUCCGAUGUAAUUAAGGCGCUGCAGGUGCGCACAAGAUACCCGGCUAGGUGACCUGGCCAGCAGCAGCAAGCAGGCGGUUAUUUUUGCUUGUUUAGAGGUGGGAGGUGAAAGCCUCCUCCCAACAUGUGAUAAGAGAGGAUUUAACCGGGCUGAAGGGGUAGCGGUGUGUACGAUACUCGUGUGUACGAUACUCGUGUGUACGAUACAUGGCUGCCCUACAUGAGGACGUACGCCAGACACGUGAACCGGUGUACAAAGUCCGCAAAUGGUGGAGUCGUCUGUUUAUUACCUUGCCUAAGGAGCUCGAGUGGGAGCUCCUACGUGUCUUGAAUGCCUCGUAAUACAACGGCCGCUUGCUGUCCUCCCCCUUGUCUCUGCUCUUUCCUAUCCAGAGAAACUUGAAAGACACCGACUUCCAACUGCACGACGUCAUUGGCUGCGGCGCGUCCGGUGCCGUGUAUCGCGGCGUGUGGCGGGGUCUUCCCGUGGCGGUAAAGACGCUGGUUGUGGCCACUGAUCUGGCGGGCACGGAGGGCCGGGCGAGGCAGAGGGCUGUCCUGGAGGCCGCCGUGUCCAUGAGUUUGGCGCACCCAAACAUCGUAGGUAGGUGUGUAGACACGUACUGCGUGUUUGUGGACGCGCGUCCCCACGCAACAAUAGUUAGUCGCGUGAGGCGGAUUCGAAUAUCCGCCGGAAAACCGGCCGCUGGUUAGCUGCAGAUCUUUGCCGACCUGCCGUAUGUUAUUGCAGUGAACCGUUCCUUCAAGUGCAAGCUAGGAAACGUUUAGACGAAGCACAUCCCAGGGUAGACGCCAGGCGAGCUCAGGAACAAGGGGGUUUCUGUAAACAUAAAAUCAGCCCGCCAACCUGCCAACCCGCCGCCGCCCUAACGACCAAACGAACCAAUCAGGUUCGCAGCACUGCAGUUCUUGAACUUGUCACUCUUUCCCUCUUCCAGCUUACAUGCAUACAUGCAGACAAGCAAGUAGUAGUCAUGGCAGCACGAUUAUAUUAUUGGUAGACAGAUGUGCAUGUGUGCACGCGGUGCGCCCCUGCCGAGGUUCCCCCAGCCGCCGUAUCUCUGUGUAUGUGGCACUCACAGUUGCUUGGUUCUCUCCCGCCUUAUCCCCCCCCCGGCUGCACGUACAGCGACGUACUCGUAUGACGUGGAACCACUCGUACACGUGCCGUCGGUCGAAGAGGAAGGACAGCGUCUCUCUGCUUGCAACAACAGUGCUGCCCAAGAUGGUGAUGGCCAGGGUGCCGACAGGGUACUUGUUGGCAAAAGCUUCGAGCGGUGCGAAGCUUACAGAUUGUACAUCGUCCAGGAGUACUGCAACGCCGGCAAUCUACGGAGCGCGCUAGGUGAGCAUUCAAAUGGUUAUGCUCUGGGCCGCGCGAGUGUGCUGCGCUUCCUGUUGCAUGUGUGCAUGCAUGCAUGCAUGCAUGUGUGCAUGUGUGUGCGGUGGUGACGGAUCGAAGCCUUACCCGAAUUGGUGGGUUUACAUGUGCGCACGUGAACCUGGAGGUAGGAACUUGAAUGGUAAGUACCUUUCAUCGUGCCAUUUGGUUGAAGGUUAAAGAAAAAAACGUACCGAUCGCACACCAAAUCGGUUUGGUUCUUCUUUGAGCGUGUGCUCGUGCGUCGUUCAGACAGACGACCAGGCUACCUAUACCCCACGCGCUGCCUGGGUGUUGUGCGCGGGGGGCCCAUCCACACAGAGCCCAUGGAAGCCUGCCUAGCCAGUCCUGGAUUUAGGUAAAGAAGCGAAUAAGGUUUGCGGAUGAUAAACCUGCCACAGAUGUAUUCACUUCAGGCGUGUUAGUCGGCUGCCCCCCAGCGGCGGGAUGAACAUUUGGACGGUCAAUAACUCUGAAUUGACCACUGGUGGAAUGAACUGAUGGCGGCACACACCAAUGAAUCCUCCCGCUUUGCUCGCCAUGAUAACAAGUCAAGACCUGUCUCUUGCCCUUGCAAUGCAUAACAAUAACGACCAGAGCGCGGCAUGGCCGGAAGCUGCGUUCUAGGGCCUGGUGUUCUCGAGGGACAGCUGGCUCGUCGCCUGGCGCUGGAUGUGGCUCUGGGUAUGCACCACAUUCACAGCUGCCGCAUCAUCCACGGAGACCUGAAGCCCGGUGCGUGCUAGCGGCGGGGCAGUGGAUGGGAGCCUGAAAGCGCAAUAAUGUGUGUGUUUUCGUAAUUUUGCUGAAGGGGGACGUUAGGAGCGACAGAUCGGGGCCGCUGCCGGUGACGAAGUGUGUGCAUAUGUUUCGAAAUGUUAUUGGCCCUGUUUCCUUCGAUCAUGCAGAGAACGUGCUGCUAAUGUGGGGGGCGCGUGCCGAUGAAGGGCCGAGCGGGGGAGGGGCACCACCCCCUGCGCUGUGGGAUGUUCGUCUGACCGCCAAGGUUGCGGAUUUUGGCCUGAGCGUGACAUUGCCGGAGGGAGCCACACACGCCUCGCACUGCUUCCACGGCACCCCCAUGUACCUGGCGCCGGAGGUGGGUGGGUGGGUUUAUCCCUGUGCUGGUAUUCAUAUGUGCCUGUUCGCGGUGUGCGUGAAUCUGUGCACUGCUGGGCCGGGGUCUUUUGGUCACAUUUCCGCGUAAGGGCUUUACAUGUACCCUGUUUCUAAUUGACCGUCGAGCUAGUUGUUAGCGUGCGUGCGUUAUAUUGCUUGCUUUUGUUGAUCUUAUCCACUUUCGCGGUGGCUGUGCUGGGGCCCUCGAAAAGUUGUGGAGACCACGGUACUUCGCAACCGUGUUGUAGGCGACCUUUACCAGCCUCUGGUACACGUGACCUCCCCUUGCACGGUCGUACGACCAGCCUCGGCCAAGGAGGUUUUGUUUCUGCCUUUUAUCUAUUUAGGAUUGCACAUCAUCCGCUACUCACACUAACGGCGAGCUUCCGUCGAGACAAAGAGAGAGAGAGAGAGUUAUGCACCCGCCACGCGCUAUUACAAAGCGUACGAACAUCGGUGCAUCAGUCGUGACCAGAACCGAAGGGGAUAACAAGGAAGCCCUCCGUCCUUGAGCUCUCCUAGCCAUAAUUAUGCACCCGAAACAGCUUUGGAAGCGCGCGUGACGAAUGUAUAGGGGAACAUUGACGAUGUUUCUUAAUGCUCCAGAGCUGGGUUUAUAAACUGUUACGAUUAGCAGCAGUAAUGCUGCCAGGUUCCUGCUCUUGGUGACUCCACUGCUUUUUCUGCUUAGCCUCCCUUGCGCGAGUGCUAUGGGUGUGUAUGCAUUAGUCCCAAAUUGUGGAAUUUCAAUCGUUUUAGUCAAGACGCGUUUGUAACCGCGCCCCCGCAGGUGGCGGCUGCCGGUCAGUUGUCACCCCGCGCCGACGUGUGGUCGUUCGGCCUCAUCCUCAUCGAGCUGUACUUCGGGUGCCCCAUCCACGAAGUGCUUGAAGCGUGUGCAGCUGUCCAGAGCGCCACCAAAAGUCAAGUUAGCGCGGUUGAUCACGGCGGCGGCGGCGGUGGUGCUGGUGGCGGUGGUGGUAAUGGCGAGCGGAUUAUGGGGCCAUCAAAUGCAUAUCUCCCGGUGCGCAGCUCCGCGGCCAGCUGUACACUCGCGUACUAUAUGCCAAAGCAUAUAGAACACACGGAAAGAAAGCAAGGACUACCCCCUUCCCUCCCCAGCUCCUAGCUAUCUAUCAUCUUCACCAUGCGCUCGAUAGCGGCUGUGGAUUUAUUUGUCAACCAAAUCAACCAAGCUUUCCAUUGUCUGUGGCGUCCUUCACCUGCUGGCCCGGCCAUUGACCUCUACCGUACCGUUCAUACUGCAUGUAUGCAGGGCGUCCUAUCCUCCAUUGCUGUUCGGCAGUACGCGGAUCUUGUAGGCAAGUGCUUGUCCUUGGAGCCUCGAGACCGCCCUGACUUUGGAGAGCUAGCGGUGGCGCUGCGGGCCCUUUGGAGCUAAGAGUUUUCUUGUCGGGCAAUGUAAAAACAGCUUGCUCACUGUGAGUGCGCGCUGUAGGUGCAUACUCAAUAUUAUAAGUUAGAGGCUGGAAUUGAUCUUUUAAAUAAGCUCGAAGAAGUAUAUACAUAAAAAUUUAUGUUUUGAUCGUUGAUAAGAUUCUAUUGGAUGAUGGUUGUAGCUCUUCAAUAUUGGCAUAUUCUAUGCUUGUAUCAUCGCGUGUUUUCAUGUUGUGUCUGCGUAUGUGCUAGGACGCAACACUACUGCGCCUCUCGCCGUGUAUGUGCGUCUAUUUGCGUUGUGUAUCUGCGUAUCUGCGUGUGCGUGUGAGUAGGGCGUGUGUGCGUGCGCGCGUGCGUGUGUGCAUGAGCGUGCGUACGAGUGCGUGCUUGUGUGUCGUACAUUAGUAAUACCCUCGUCUACCAUGCAUGACCUGGCACAGGCGGAAGCCAGCCAUGCGUGCGCGUGCCUAGCUUCCAUGCGUGGUCUAUGGAUGGGCGUGGAUGUGCGUGCAACCCUGAUGCGGAUGGGGCUGAGCUGGUUCGUACACGGACUGUCUUUUCUUUUCUUUGUGAUGGCGAUGAUCAAUGCAAAUGAUGUUUAAAUUUAUUGACAGUAAAAGUAUCGGAUGGCAACACAACCCAGGCUCCACAAGGUCGUAUAAGGCCAUAUAAGCGUUCUGAUGGAAAGGCACAUACGCCCGCCGUAUGUGGGCACAGGUCGACUUCUGAGCAAGUCGUGAUUUGCAAGUGCCUGGAGCAUGUUCGGAGCAUGUUUGGGACGGUUUGCAGUCGCUGUGUCGGCCUGUCUUCCCCAGUUCCCUGCAGCCCAGUGUCCGAGGUCUUCUUCCCUUUGCUUAUUUCUUCGUAGUCGUCGCUUUUUGCUUUUUUGGGCCUGUCCUGAGCGCAGGAAUUGGGCUUUUUGCCCAUCGUCCUUUGUUCGAGUCCCCCCAUAUUAUGAGCUCCUGUCCUUGUUUGACUGAUGAGCCCUGCGCUUUAGUGUAAGCCUUGGGUGGGUGUAUGUGCGUUACGGGAUGGCUCCAUCUUUCCUUUUCGCGCUCUUGCUUGGCAACCUUUGUAACCAACUCUCUGCAAACCGCCCCCCCGAGAGCCGCAUCUGGAGUAGAGGCCGUCGUGUUGGUCCUCAAAAUAGCGUACUUGGUAAGUAGACUGGUAGUAUGAGGACCCUGUAACUGUAACUGUAGGUCUACGCAGGUUUUGGACCGCAAGCUGGGGUGUAGCCAGCCAAAGCUUCGAUGAGUAAGGUAGUGAUAAAUGGGCAGCAGCCUUGUUUAGCACACCCUGUAGACGGGACGGGAAUCACUCUGAGCUGGCCAGAAGCCGUCAGCCUUAUGGACAAUCACUUCGGAACGCUGUUGAAUGACCGCCAAGACAUGCACACCGUACAUGCCUGUGACAUCAUGGCCAUAAGAAACCUCAACAGAACCUAUCCAAGGCUUGCUUCAAAUCAAUACGGCACACUAUCAACGUAGGUAACCCCAAUUUCCGAGGAUGUGUAAAUGCGAAUACCUACCAUUAUCGACCUGUGCGCAGGGGAGCCCAUGCGAAGGUGGGCGCAUGGGGGCUGUUGCAUAAUUACAAAUGCUUGUGCUGACAAAAACCCUUGCUCGGACAAACCCAGUAACAUCGCGAGCACCAGGCUGCCCGGUCGCCUUUCCCGUCAGUCCCGACAGGAGCUACAACUCGACAACCCUGAUAAAUAUCCCUGUCCUCACCCUUAAAGCGGAUAGGAGGAAAAGCAAUCUACCAAAACAAGGAGGUUACGCUCACUGCGCAACAUACACCUAGUGGAAUUGAGAAAGGUAAUACGCAGACAGCCGUAAUGAAAGCAAAUACACGCGAAAUGCUUGAGCAACACCAAGAGCUAAUCCCAUAUCUCUAACAAGCCGGGUGAGAUGCUAGGUGCACGCCACAAGGGGUCAUAAGCCGUAAUGAGUUGCUUACACGGAAGUGUGUUGUUGUUGUGGUUACAGUAUUUCCGCCGCCGACGCGGCGGGUGCCCUCACGAGCCGUGAGGCUCCAGAGCACGCUGUUGACGCUCAUCAAAAACCUCAGUAAGGAAAGUAGCGAUUUUCCUCGGAUUGGUAUUAAGAAAUACCUUGCGCAUAUCAGUAUCUUCAACGUUAAUCAGAAACCUAUUACGCAACUCAGUAUACGCCUCACACUCCAUGAGCACAUGAUAUUCAUCCUCAACCUUACCCGACGUACAGACCUGACACGUACGGCACUCUCUCGGCCUAUGGUGUCCUUUGUUGACCUCCAAAGGCCAACAACAAAGACGGAAUUUGGCAACCAUACGCAACUGGUUGACCGGCAAAUAAACACGCAAAUAGCCUGUGGGAUCGGAGCCCUCUCUUGCUGGUGAAGGGGAGCCCAUCCAGUUAUGAUACCUGCAAAGCGAAACCCCUUUACCUUGGAACACACGCGGAUCACCCCCUUGGCUGAACUGAUCCCAGUCACUUAAAAGGAACGCAGAUAACCUCUCCAGAACCUCACCCACUCGAAUCAACUGAGACGAGUAUACAUCUACCUUCUGAGAAACGGAGUCACACGCCGGCCACUCAUGGCCCAACCAACGCAAAAUGAUGAGCACUUUAGACGACCAGCAAUCNNNNNNNNNNNNNNNNNNNNNNNNNNNNNNNNNNNNNNNNNNNNNNNNNNNNNNNNNNNNNNNNNNNNNNNNNNNNNNNNNNNNNNNNNNNNNNNNNNNNNNNNNNNNNNNNNNNNNNNNNNNNNNNNNNNNNNNNNNNNNNNNNNNNNNNNNNNNNNNNNNNNNNNNNNNNNNNNNNNNNNNNNNNNNNNNNNNNNNNNNNNNNNNNNNNNNNNNNNNNNNNNNNNNNNNNNNNNNNNNNNNNNNNNNNNNNNNNNNNNNNNNNNNNNNNNNNNNNNNNNNNNNNNNNNNNNNNNNNNNNNNNNNNNNNNNNNNNNNNNNNNNNNNNNNNNNNNNNNNNNNNNNNNNNNNNNNNNNNNNNNNNNNNNNNNNNNNNNNNNNNNNNNNNNNNNNNNNNNNNNNNNNNNNNNNNNNNNNNNNNNNNNNNNNNNNNNNNNNNNNNNNNNNNNNNNNNNNNNNNNNNNNNNNNNNNNNNNNNNNNNNNNNNNNNNNNNNNNNNNNNNNNNNNNNNNNNNNNNNNNNNNNNNNNNNNNNNNNNNNNNNNNNNNNNNNNNNNNNNNNNNNNNNNNNNNNNNNNNNNNNNNNNNNNNNNNNNNNNNNNNNNNNNNNNNNNNNNNNNNNNNNNNNNNNNNNNNNNNNNNNNNNNNNNNNNNNNNNNNNNNNNNNNNNNNNNNNNNNNNNNNNNNNNNNNNNNNNNNNNNNNNNNNNNNNNNNNNNNNNNNNNNNNNNNNNNNNNNNNNNNNNNNNNNNNNNNNNNNNNNNNNNNNNNNNNNNNNNNNNNNNNNNNNNNNNNNNNNNNNNNNNNNNNNNNNNNNNNNNNNNNNNNNNNNNNNNNNNNNNNNNNNNNNNNNNNNNNNNNNNNNNNNNNNNNNNNNNNNNNNNNNNNNNNNNNNNNNNNNNNNNNNNNNNNNNNNNNNNNNNNNNNNNNNNNNNNNNNNNNNNNNNNNNNNNNNNNNNNNNNNNNNNNNNNNNGUGAACGGACCAUUCAUAGUGUCGGCCAUAGACCGUCUAGCAUGCACCGGUUCGGAAUCACGCCACGCCGCCCCGACUUGGGAGCCCGCACCGAGAUUGAUACAGUUGAGAAUGGCACAGACACGGGCCUCCUGCACCUCAUCGAAGGAGGCUGAGGCAUUAUAAAGGCGAUCGAAGUAGUCCGUCCACUCCGACACGUCUUCCACAUUGCAUCUGGACGCUGGCUUACCGUUCAGACGUUGCCAUAGGGUCUUCGCAUCCCGUUUGCAUGUAGCUAUGAAUAACUCCAAGGCUCGCAGCCGGUGAUCCCGUCGUGCGUUACGCUUAGCACGAUUAAACUGACGACGUAACUCUUGAAAACUCGUAUGCCCCAUAGCCGGGGCAGCACACCCCCACUUCAUCACAUCAGACCGAUACUGCAACAUGGCCUGCUUAGCCGCAGCACACUCAUCAUUCCACCACGCCGCCUUGCCGUUAGAAACCGGCCCGGGCCUGAAGGCAUCACCGAAGCAACCCAGCAAAAUCCGUUCGAUAGUGUCCACCGCCUGGGUGACACCAAUCUGGCCAGCACGCAGGGAAUCCACAACCGCCCGGACACCAACCACAGGGGGGGCCUCCGGGUUGUAGAACAUGUCUGUGUACCUGUGCGCCUCAGAGACAAGAAACGUCGGCUUGGGUUUACGCGUGGGUGGCCGGUCCGGCCUCCAAACCGACGCGAGGUGAAGGGACACGGGGUUAUGAUCACUCAAGCGGCGUUCUUCACGGUAAAAAGAAGUGAUCUGCCCAGACCUCCCAAAGCUUCUCCAAUAGCUAAGCGUGAAGCACAACCUGGUAGCCCACUUCUGCACCAGCCUCCAAAGGCCGCCAGUACGUUGGUCUACAGUGAUAUUGAUUAGCACACAACGCCACCUCAAGGGGGAUGAAAGGCCCUCAGCCCGUUGGAUGGUCCUGACCACCGGAAGGUUGGAAGUUUCCUUAGUUUAUGUCAGGUACCUUCUGUGAGACAUCAUGCAGAAGGCACCCGCCAUAGACUAAAGGAACCUUUUAAACUUUCGGUGGUCAGGACUACCCAGCAGGCUGAGGGCCUUUCAACCUUUUUUCCUCCAAUCAUGGUGCAGACCCUAAGUUUUAAUGCUACUACCUCUUUACCAAUGCGAUGAGGAGGUCAGCACAACUGCAUACAGCACCUAAGUUCACCCCAUAUCUACAGGAUGCAACAGCCAGGAUGGGGUUUUGCACCAGGCAUGAGCCGGGGUUUUUAGGAGGGCGAUUAUGGGCCUUCCAGGCAUGCUAAAAGCCCGGCUUGUGUGGGGUACUUGUGUAAUGCUUUGCGGGCGAAGUGACAUGUUAAUCGUUCAUGACCCAUCGACGCCUUACCAUUGUUUGCAUGCUGUCGUUAACGUAUUUGUGAAUGGGUUGACGUGCGCACGGCUUUAUAUUCAAAAGUUACAUUCCAUGAUCAGCGAUGGGUUAAACGUCGGCAAUCGAACCUGGAUUGCGUCGAGCUACUAGAUCUCACACCGCCAAACACACCAGGAAAUCCGUUGCAGAGAGACAUACUUCAAGCGUUUCCCCGGCACCCGCCGUCCUCGCAGAUCACGCCAAAAAGGCCAGCGAUUUUGGCCACAAGGACUCAGUCAAACGAUGUCAGACCAGACACCCUAAUUUAGGCCGAAGGGGUGAACUUGGUGGCAUAGGCGAAGGCGUUAACAGCGCUGGGGUUGGCGAGGUGGUCAGACAGGUUCUCGAUGGGGCCCUUGCCGGUCACAAUAGCCUGCACGAAGAAGCCGAACAUGGAGAACAUGGCCAGGCGGCCGUUCUUGAUCUCCUUGACCUUGAGCUCGGCGAAGGUGUCCGGGUCGUCAGCCAGGCCCAGCGGGUCGAAGGCGCCACCGGGGUGCAGCGGGUCCAGGCCCUCACCCAGCGGGCCGCCGUUGGCGCGGUAGGCCUCAGCCAGGCCCAUCACGACAACCUGGAGCAUAACAUGGCGUGAGGAGGAAAAACCAUCCGGAGGCUUUCAAUGCAGGGGUUGCGAGCUAAGUGAGAACAAUUUGGCGCGAGAUCUCGCUGGUAUCACAUUAGCAUGAUAUAAUACACGCGCGUGCUAGCCUCGCCGAGGAAUAGGUACAUGGGGACGCCUGGCGGCAUGCAACGACGUCCAAAGUACCAAAAAAAUCUCCCUAUCCACUGGCAAUUUCGUAAGCUAGCACAGCCCACAAAACUUUAAAGCUUCAGAUCCAUCCACGUUACGCAAAUACCUGGAAGGCCAGGGUGGCAAUGAUGGACUGCGCGUGCACCAGGUUCUCAUUGCCCAGGUAGUUCAGGCCACCCUCAGCGAAGAUCUGGGCGCCGGCCUUGAACCAGACAGCCUCGCCGAACGAGACACCCGCGUACUUGGACAGCAGCUCGGGGGUCACGCAGCCCAGAGCGCCCAACAUGGCCCAGCGCGCAUGGAUGAGCUCCAGCUCGCGGUAGCGCUUGAAGGUCUCCGGGUCAGCGGACAGGCCGGCAGUGUCCCAGCCGUAGUCGCCGGGGAACUCGCCAGUCAGGUAGGCAGGGGUAUCGCCCUCAGAGAAGGGGCCUG
This 40465-nucleotide long non-coding RNA is filed under the name Volvox carteri. RNAcentral describes it as "long non-coding RNA (VCAR_LNC000805)". The record is from RNAcentral. Lineage: Eukaryota; Viridiplantae; Chlorophyta; Chlorophyceae; Chlamydomonadales; Volvocaceae.